This 3341-nucleotide long non-coding RNA is filed under the name Triticum aestivum (bread wheat). RNAcentral describes it as "long non-coding RNA (TAES_LNC014598)". Lineage: Eukaryota; Viridiplantae; Streptophyta; Magnoliopsida; Poales; Poaceae. The record is from RNAcentral.
AGAUUGAUCAAUCAUCAAUAUAUAAAGGCAUCAAUCGACAUCAGCAAUUGCAUUUGCAAGCAAUCCAUUCUCAGAAUUAGCAUCCUUUGUAACAAGUAUAUGAACAAAUACAUACACUAAAAGUGUAUGGAGACAUGGAGUUCACAGCUGCAUCAGAUCCAACAUUCAUAUGAAAUAUGUAAAUAAUUAAAAGAUACUACAAACUAGAACUAAGCUUUCCAUACAUUAUACAUAAUAUGUGUUCAUUUAAAGACUAAUUCUUGUGUGGUUGCUCCUUGCUCCUGCAAUGCAUUCCAAUUCUACCUGGAAAAAAUAACAAAGAGAAGUUUAGAACAUAAGCUUUUGGAUUAGUGCAAGAUGAAAUGUUCUAUGAUGAAACCGUGAGAGAUGUUCCUUACAAAUGUCUUGAUGUUUUCUUGGAGCACAAAUGUCUUAGGUUGUGUUGGAGUGGUCAGCUUUGUCUUUUUGACCUAAAAUGUUUCAAAGUAGUAUCAGAUUGGCAGGCAAACAACAAUUGGCAUAACCAUGCAAGCGUAUGUGAUUCAACUGACUGAAACUAUAUCUUGUUUGGAUAUAUUUCGAAAUGUACAUACCUUGGCUUGUUCUGAUCUUACUCAUGCGUAAUUAAGAUGCAUAAACACUUCCUCAAAUGGUACAAUUAUGAAACAUACUUAGUAUCUAUGUAGCUAAAGUAAAAAUAAAUCAUGAAAACAAUAUGUACAGCUCAUUAGUGGUGAAACAAGAAGUACGCCUUGUCUGCUGCACAAAGUCAUGUGAAGCCAUGUAUAAAUAAUAAAGUGUAGACCACAUAGACAUGUCAUUUUGCUUCGUAAGUAGUAGGGCAAGCCAAGAGACGCUGGUUUGCGAAAGCUAAAACUAUACAUAGUUAAUCAAAGAUGAGCAACUUUGAUAAAAUGACAACACUUUUCCUCGUACAUUUAUCGUAUGACCCACCUUUCAUUUUUUUUGAUAAAAUGGCACACGUUUCAUUGAUAGCUAGACAAAAUGGCACAAGCAAUUUUUUCCCUCUAUUUCUACGUAUGGGCCCGCACAUCAGAUUAUUUGGGACAGUUUUGCCCUUUAGCUUGUUUACUCUAGUUCCAUUGAACCUAUCGAUCGAUACAAGAAACAGGAACGAGACAGGAGGAUAGGAAGAAUAGCGCCGCCAUCCUUCCUAUCGACACGCUGUGUGUUCUCCAUUGCCAUCUCUCCAUGCUUAGCCCAUUCUCUUGCCAUCGCCUCGCUGCAACUGUUCCCCUGUGUGUCCAACAAACAGUGGACUCUCUUUCAGACCCUGCAGUUUGGUUCCUGCUAUCAAGUCCUCCUAUCCUCGCAACUCCACAUCCCUACCCCAUGUUGUGAAGUGUGCCAUAUCGUGUGCAUGUUGAUUACAUCCCUACAUGCUGCCAAAGUGUGCUACCUAAACAUCUAAAUCAACAAGCAUCCAUAUCCUGUUGUUGUCAGAAGCUACAACUAAGCUAGCAACUCGUAUGAAUAUUUAGAGCCAAUUACUUUCUUCAGGCAGCAACUACGUCCAUUACAGAGAUAGCAUCAAGCAAGUACAGAAGCUACAGCUAGAGUAGCUUUAGCGACAUGAGCGAUCAACGGACGCUCUAGCAGCUUGAGCGACCAAUGCAAGCAAGCAAACUACAAAAGUGACGCCCAGCACGAUGCACGGUAGCUUCGACAUCAGGGCAUGACAAAGGGUCACACGGCAGCAUGAAGAAGAUGUCGAGGCACACUUUGAAAGAAUGGUGCGGCAACAGUAAGGAGCGGUGCUUGCCUUCCGCCGCUUGGCGAGGGAGCAUCGAUCUUACCACGACACAUCCACGCCUCCUCCACAUGAACGGGCGGGCGGGCAGAGCACGGCAAGGCGACGACAGGAGAAGAGCGGCGCCUGGGAGGAAGGAUGGCGAGGUGGCAGCCCUGUUGUUCCUCUCCUUCUGUCUCACGGCUAAUUUUGGUAUGGGAGGGCAAAAUCGUCCCAAAUAAUCUAACGUGCAGGCUUUGAUCUAGAAAUAGAGGAAAAAGAUCACUUUGUGCCAUUUUGGCCAACUAUCAAUCUAAAGUAUGCCAUUUUAUCAAAGAAAAUGAAAGGUGUGUCAUAGGACCAAAGUAUGAGGAAAGAAGUGUAAUUUUAUCAAAUUGCUCUUAAAAGAUAGAUAUAGGAAUCAUGUUGUGAUAGCAGAUUAAAGUAGAUCUCUCUUACAACAAGUAAAUGCAAUCUGCUUAAUGGCAAGUCAUUCUAGCAUACUGGCAUAAUGGGAUUCGAGGUAGCACCUGCUAGUAAACCAGAUUAAUGUACUCGCUCCUUUUCCGCUAAAAGGACGAACUACCAAAUUCAUAAAUUACAGAGUGGAUAAAGAGCAGAAAAUGUGUACACAAGUUGCAAGACGCACCACCAAUGUGGUUGCUCCAUCAGAUCUGAAUCUGAUACAUGAGUUCCCUGAUUGAUGUUGGUUUGUCUUAACGGUGAGAUUUGGUGACAACUAAUCUGGAUAUACACCCGCAAAAAGAAAAACUAAUCUGGAUAUAAGAAGCGUGAGAUGCGUACUUGAAAGAUGUAAAGAUAUAAUGUUGUGAUAGCAGAUUAAAGUAGAUCUCUCUUACAACAAGUAAAUGCAAUCUGCUUAAUGGCAAGUCAUUCUAGCAUACUGGCAUAAUGGGAUUCGAGGUAGCACCUGCUAGUAAACCAGAUUAAUGUACUCGCUCCUUUUCCGCUAAAAGGACGAACUACCAAAUUCAUAAAUUACAGAGUGGAUAAAGAGCAGAAAAUGUGUACACAAGUUGCAAGACGCACCACCAAUGUGGUUGCUCCAUCAGAUCUGAAUCUGAUACAUGAGUUCCCUGAUUGAUGUUGGUUUGUCUUAACGGUGAGAUUUGGUGACAACUAAUCUGGAUAUACACCCGCAAAAAGAAAAACUAAUCUGGAUAUAAGAAGCGUGAGAUGCGUACUUGAAAGAUGUAAAGAUAUAAUGGUAAAAUGUAGAGCAGAUGGGAUUCGAGGGAGCACCUGCUUGAUAGAGCAGAUGGGAUUUGAGGGUGCGCUGGCUUGAUGUGGCAGAAUUUUGCAGGAGGAUGACGCCGGCAUGGACCUGGCUUGCGGACGUUGAGGACGACGCCAGGAGAGGUGCGGCCAGGGGACGGGGAGGACAAGGGAAGCCGACCGGCCCUGACUGGUGAGGUCGUCGACCGAGGAGACCAGACGUAGCCGGCAGAGGGCACCGCUCGGGGCGAGGCUUGGAGCCGCCGCAGAUUGGAUAUGGUGGGUUGUAGAAACUGGGAGCGGAAAAGAUGGGGUGCGUGGGAGACGACCCCAGUUUUAGUUAGUGAAAAAAAUC